GACGUAGGGCGCGAGCGUUGUCCGGAUUUAUUGGGCGUAAAGAGCUCGUAGGCGGUCUGCCGCGUCUGGUGUGAAAAUCCAGGGCUUAACCCUGGACCUGCAUCGGGUACGGGCAGACUAGAGUGCGGUAGGGGAGAUCGGAAUUCCUGGUGUAGCGGUGAAAUGCGCAGAUAUCAGGAGGAACACCGAUGGCGAAGGCAGGUCUCUGGGCAUUAACUGACGCUGAGGAGCGAAAGCAUGGGGAGCGAACAGG
RNAcentral lists this ribosomal RNA (253 nucleotides) under uncultured bacterium. RNAcentral's name for it is "partial 16S ribosomal RNA". It matches the Rfam family "Bacterial small subunit ribosomal RNA", at positions 524 to 776 of the family's 1533-position model. The record is from RNAcentral.